RNAcentral lists this ribosomal RNA (253 nucleotides) under uncultured bacterium. Its description in RNAcentral is "partial 16S ribosomal RNA". It matches the Rfam family "Bacterial small subunit ribosomal RNA", at positions 524 to 776 of the family's 1533-position model. The record is from RNAcentral.
UACGAAGGGGGCUAGCGUUGUUCGGAUUUACUGGGCGUAAAGCGCACGUAGGCGGACUAUUAAGUCAGGGGUGAAAUCCCGGGGCUCAACCCCGGAACUGCCUUUGAUACUGGUAGUCUUGAGUUCGAGAGAGGUGAGUGGAAUUCCGAGUGUAGGGGUGAAAUUCGUAGAUAUUCGGAGGAACACCAGUGGCGAAGGCGGCUCACUGGCUCGAUACUGACGCUGAGGUGCGAAAGCGUGGGGAGCAAACAGG